Molecule: ribosomal RNA, 253 nt
Filed under: uncultured bacterium
Lineage: Bacteria
Description: partial 16S ribosomal RNA
Rfam family: Bacterial small subunit ribosomal RNA
Source: RNAcentral
UACGGGGGGAGCAAGCGUUGUUCGGAUUUACUGGGCGUAAAGGGCGCGUAGGCGGCGCGACAAGUCACUUGUGAAAUCUCCGGGCUUAACCCGGAGCGGCCAAGUGAUACUGUAGUGCUAGAGUGCGGAAGGGGCUACUGGAAUUCUCGGUGUAGCGGUGAAAUGCGUAGAUAUCGAGAGGAACACCGGUGGCGAAGGCGGCCAUCUGGACCGCAACUGACGCUGAGGCGCGAAAGCGUGGGGAGCAAACAGG